Molecule: ribosomal RNA, 468 nt
Filed under: uncultured bacterium
Lineage: Bacteria
Description: partial 16S ribosomal RNA
Rfam family: Bacterial small subunit ribosomal RNA
Source: RNAcentral
GACGAACGCUGGCGGCGUGCUUAACACAUGCAAGUCGAACGGAAAGGCCCUGCUUUUGUGGGGUGCUCGAGUGGCGAACGGGUGAGUAACACGUGAGUAACCUGCCCUUGACUUUGGGAUAACUUCAGGAAACUGGGGCUAAUACCGGAUAGGAGCUCCUGCUGCAUGGUGGGGGUUGGAAAGUUUCGGCGGUUGGGGAUGGACUCGCGGCUUAUCAGCUUGUUGGUGGGGUAGUGGCUUACCAAGGCUUUGACGGGUAGCCGGCCUGAGAGGGUGACCGGCCAAAUUGGGACUGAGAUACGGCCCAGACUCCUACGGGAGGCAGCAGUGGGGAAUAUUGAACAAUGGGCGGAAGCCUGAUGCAGCAACGCCGCGUGCGGGAUGAAGGACUUCGGGUUGUAAACCGCUGUCGCCUGUGACGAAGCGUGAGUGACGGUAAUGGGUAAAGAAGCACCGGCUAACUACGUG